This 225-nucleotide unclassified non-coding RNA is filed under the name uncultured fungus. RNAcentral's name for it is "sequence contains ITS1, 5.8S rRNA gene". The stretch from base 177 to 225 matches the Rfam family "5.8S ribosomal RNA", at positions 1 to 49 of the family's 154-position model. Lineage: Eukaryota; Fungi. The record is from RNAcentral.
UCUCCGUAGGUGAACCUGCGGAGGGAUCAUUACUGAGUGAGGGCUCACGCCCGACCUCCAACCCUUUGUGAACCAAACUUGUUGCUUCGGGGGCGACCCGGCCUUCGGGCGUCGGGGCCCCCGGUGGACCAUUCAACUCUGCAUCUUUGCGUCGGAGUUUAAAACAAAUUAAACAAAACUUUCAACAACGGAUCUCUUGGUUCUGGCAUCGAUGAAGAACGCAGC